ACACCAAAACACGCACAGUACCUUUAUUUUUUCUCUCCCACCGGCCGUUUCUCUCUCCCGUAUCUUUUCAAAUUCCGGCCACCCAUACUGUACACGCGCCAGCCAGUGACGUGCGGAAGGAGGAGGCGAGCUCGGCCGCCAAGUUUCACGGCCAGCCGCCGCCGGACGCGCGCCGAUCGGGCCAGAGAAGCCGCCGGCCGCCGGAUUUUCUCUCUCCUCUUUUCUUGUGUUUUCCGGCCAGCCCAGUCCCAAUUGAGCCUCCUCUCCCCCUAUUUUGGGUCCUCUGAAUCCAAAAAUGGCCUCCAAUCUCAAAAAUUCGAAGCGGUUUGAAAGAUCCCUCAAGAUCAAAACCGGCCGAACCUUUCCGGCCAAAUUCCGGCCACCUCCGGCGGAAUUGGGGUCAAUGGAGACCGGAUUGGUGAUCCUCGUUCCACGAGCUUCGAUUCGGAGCACCGGUGAGUCGUGAAAUUGAUCCCGUGGUGGAUCAUGGGUUAAUUGCGUGCUCCAGGUCCAGGUUGGAGACGUUGAUUGUCCGGGGCGAGCCCAACGUCUCAGUUCGUUGCCAAAGGUUCAAGAAGUUUUCUUCCCUUUUUCCUCUCGACCUUGUAUUGUUUCUUUAUCUGUCAUUUUAUAAAUUCCACAUGUAUUUGUAUAAUGCUCUGUAUACUGUAUUGGACGUGUGGUUGUUAUUUAUGCACUGGGUUGCCGCUGUUUUCUUUUGGAGUGCUGCAAUUUGUAGAAUCAGUUUGUAGUUUGUGGGAGGAAUAAGGGGAUGUUUUUAGAAGUGUGUUUUCAGUGCAGGUAGUUGUGGUAAGUAAAUCCCUUAGGGGAGGCUCUGUCGGAUUUUCCGUUGGAGGGUCCGGUAGGGUUUCCCUGGGAU
Long non-coding RNA from Ziziphus jujuba (common jujube), 880 nucleotides. RefSeq lists it as uncharacterized. The transcript has 3 exons. The record is from RefSeq and is a predicted model, not a curated record. NCBI's taxonomy places the organism in Eukaryota, Viridiplantae, Streptophyta, Magnoliopsida, Rosales, Rhamnaceae.